GCCGUGCAGGGCCGGGUGGAUGUUGUUGACCUUGGCGGGCGCCCCGGCGACCGCGGCUUUCCCCCCGCCCGACGAGGCGGAGGGCUGAGGAUUGUCUGAACUAAGUACACCUGGUGACCUGGGGUCGGCGAGAGGGCCCGACGUCGCCCUGGGGACGUGAUUAGGGAGUCCCUCUACAGCGGCGGUGCUGUUAGGCCUCGCCCCGGAAUGCCUGCUGCCCUCAGGCCCCGGCGGAGGGCCGUUUCCUGAAGGCCUGCUCUCUUUGGUUAAGGUAAUGCCUUGCUGUCCACCUGAGGUAGCAGUGUGAGGAGGAGGAGGAGUAGGAGGAGGAGGAGGAGAGGACAGGUGAUUGAGAGCGGCCCUCUGCAGUAACGAAUCGCUAGGCGCGGUGGAAUGUCCGACCUGAUUUCGAAUACUGGUUCCAGCUGCCUGGAAAGGCGGGGCGGGAGUGCCAGUGGAAGAGAAAGGCCAUUCGCCAUUGGGACCUGCCGAAUGCGAACCUGGACCUUUGUGAAGCCCCUGUGGGUGAAAAGAAAAAAAUAUUAAACAUGUAGAAAAUGAACUGGAAAAACUCAAACAUUCACCACAAUUAAGAAACUGUACAGAGCCACUCGACUACCCCCUUAUCGAACAUGUAGUUUCCACUUUGUUCAUUUAAUGUUCAACAAAGUGGAACAUUAAUGCCUGGUUGAGCUCCUUUCUCUCUGAAAUAAAGAAACCCAUCGAACUCACAGGGACUUUAUAAGAACACGCACUUUGGAUCUAGAUUCAAGGUUUAUCAUAGAAAGCAUGCCUGCCCUAUAGACAGAAGGGGUGCCUGCAUUGACAUUAUCCUGAGCAUAAGUCAAUAGACGUCCUCCUUCUUCCUUUCAUACGCUGAAGCUACAAAGAUCAUCUUCAUUAAACUGAACCGUUAAGCGCUAGUGUAUUAAACAGCAAACAGCUUUUAUCGAUGAAAUUAAUGAAAAUUAAAGGUGAGCGCUUCAUACUCUAUGGUUUUCAAGCUUAUACAGCAGCACCUCUGAUUAGGAAUCCCUGUUCUACACGGCAAGGGCAGAUAACACCAUUAUCAGUAACAUCUAGAUCUUAUUAAAAACGUUCCACAGUUGUGACCUUUAAUAAGGCCGCCUUUUGUAAUUUUAUGCUUAAUAAUCCAUCACAAAGUACUAAAUUUGAGUCAACCACACAUUCUCUAAUGCGUAACUUGCAGUAAUGAAUACUGGACCUAUGAGGCAGUUGUAUGCAACUUGAAAGUCAUUUGAAUGCCUGAAUAUUCGAACAUGAAAGAUUCAAAUGAGUGGCAGUGUUAUUCAUGUCUUUAACAUUGCUCUUGAAAGGAGUGCCUGCCAAAUGCCUAUAAACAUAAUAUGUUUACAUUGUAACAUGAAGCCGAAAAACACAUUUCCACCAAGCGUGGACACCAAAGUCUAAAGUAAACAGACAGCCAUACGAGCGGCGGCUAACCGCUAACGGGUGGCGGCGCACCUGAGAGGAGUUAACGUGUUGGGUUUUCCACAGCUCGCCUGCGCUGCCGCUGCUGGUCGGGGUUGUGCAGUUGUGAGGUAGUGCGUUUCGCUGCAGAGCCCACAAAAUGUACCGUUCUUUCACCCUUUUGGCCAAUGUUCAAAAGACAACAUCGGACCUGAACCUUGAACUGACCUUGGCCGGGCUGGACGUGCGCUUCCUCUUGGCGGGGCUGGACUGGUCGUCGCCCUGGCCCAAGGGGCCCGCGUGCGGAGGCAGCGUGUGGGGCGUUGUGGGCGGCUGGCUCAGACCCCCACCUUCAGUACUCUGACUGGGCUUGCAGGCCUGCCAUGGGAAAGGAGAGCAGAGAGGACAUGCCGUGACGUUUCCCCCCUAUGCCACCGGCGUGCGGAAACGCACUGAAAUUCAUGUCAUGAAAUCAGUAAUACUAGUUCUGUUAUUUAGCCGAUGCUUUUAUCCGAAGCGACUUACAGUUUAGUAGACUAAGCGGGGGACAAUCCCACCAGGAGCAAUAUGGGAUUAAAGGCCUUCCUCAAGGGCCCAGCAGUUGCACUGAUCUUACUGCGGCUACACUGGGAUCUGAGAUCGAUCAACCAACCUGCCAGGUCCCAGUCAUGAACCUUAGCAACUGGGCUACUGGCUGCCCCUCAAAGUAACCUUCCGUUCUGUUAAAAAUAAAAUAUUACAGCCA
Long non-coding RNA from Conger conger (European conger), 2176 nucleotides. RefSeq lists it as uncharacterized. The transcript is spliced from 2 exons. NCBI's taxonomy places the organism in Eukaryota, Metazoa, Chordata, Actinopteri, Anguilliformes, Congridae. The record is from RefSeq and is a predicted model, not a curated record.